GUUACAUCAUUAUUAUAACAAAAAAUAGCUGCCUGGCUGAUGAACUCAUUAAGUGUUGGUAGAGUGCUACAUGAGGGGCAGGUCUUUUGCUAAGACCACAAGGAUCUGUGGCCCAAAAAGUGGAGUUUCAUAGUAAUUCUUGCUGCAAUU
This is a small nucleolar RNA of Mustela lutreola (European mink), 150 nucleotides long. Lineage: Eukaryota; Metazoa; Chordata; Mammalia; Carnivora; Mustelidae. The record is from RefSeq and is a predicted model, not a curated record.